UGGACAGGACGAGGGCAGAGCCUGCUUCCCGAUCUGAUGGAAGCCGUGAAGCCUUCUCUGCCUUAUGCUUGGCUCUGC
Molecule: microRNA precursor, 78 nt
Organism: Chlorocebus sabaeus (green monkey)
Lineage: Eukaryota; Metazoa; Chordata; Mammalia; Primates; Cercopithecidae
Source: Ensembl